AACACUCAAUAAAGCUCUUCUUUGUCUUGUUCACCUUCCACUUGUCUGCAUAGGCAGGAUUUGGCACCACUGGCAGUGACACUGUAACAUUUUGGGGGCUCAUCUGGGAUCUCCAAAAGGGUGAAGAAAGAGAGGAUUAAUGAGAAAAACAAAUUAGACGGCAUAGCCUAGAUGCAGAAAGUCUAACUCCAAAAUUCAUGAACCUUCCAAAAUUUACCAUGUUGUCCCUCUUCACUUGGAACUCUAGUGACACACAAAGAUCAACACCUCCACAUUUGCCCCCAGUGAUAGGCCUUGGUAGCUUAACUGGUUGUGAUAUCAUAGGAAAUGACUGCAUGCAUGUAGAAGGAUGACAAAGAUGGAGAAUAACCAGAGUGCAUAAGAGGGUAAGAUGGAAGGUAUGAGGAAGUGGUGAUUACCAGAACAGAAAAGAGAGAAAAAGUCAAAAGGGAGAAAGGGGAGGAAAGCAAACUAAAUCUCAGGAAACAUUGUGAAAAAAUAGUGAGAAGUGAGAAACUCUUCCAGCAUAGUAACUGUAUUCAACAGGUAUGUCUAUGCUGUG
Homo sapiens (human) is the source of this 562-nucleotide long non-coding RNA. Lineage: Eukaryota; Metazoa; Chordata; Mammalia; Primates; Hominidae. The record is from Ensembl.